CACUGACAUUAUCCUGAUCUCAACUUAAAGCAGCAAGGUGCAAAAAUAGGACAAUUUUCCCCUUACUACAAAGGCAGUAGGAUGGGGUUGGUAGGAAACUGGAUGCUCUGAAGUUUUGGGGAGAAGCAGUGGAAGAAACCAGGCACUACACACACCUGCCCAGUUCAGAGAUGAAGAGCACCUCUCCCCAGAGACAACAACAAAUCAAACCAGGUGAAAAUGAAGAUACUUCCCCAGCUGUGCCUGAAAAGCUAAAUCAGCUCUGGGGAUUUAUGUGCUGUGAGAAACUGGGCUCUCUAAAGGGUUCAGUCUCAUGAAGAUGAAACUGAUACAGGCAAAGCGAAGGAAUUGAUACCAACAACAGGACUGAAAGGAUUCUGAACAUCUGUCUUAGCUUCAAAAAUUCACCUGGAAUAUCAAUGCCACUGGACACGCUUCAGGGCCAAGGAUGCUGCAGCUGACCCACAUGGGAAGAAAUCCACACAAAAAGACAAGACCAUGUCCCAGCACAAAAUUCUGCAUGGAAAAGAAGCUGAAUUUCUGCUUAAAAGCUGGGAGUCCCUAAUGGGGGAGAACUCCUUUUGACAUUUUCCCAGUGGUUAGAGCACUUGGAGAGUAAAUCCAGAGCAAAUCUGGAUGCUAAAUCUUCUCCUUCAUCUUUCUGGAGAAGUACAGCAAGUAACAAAGACACAGAAAUAAUCCCAGAUUCAUCAAACAGCUCAGAUUGGAAACAAGGCUGGUAAUGAGAUCCCGCCUGGAUUUAUUCACUUUGGCCUUGCAAACAUCCAAGGAUGGAGACUGUACAACCUCUCUGGGCAAUCAGUUACUGUCCAUGAGCAUCUCAGUGCCCAUUAAUGUGCUUCUAACACCAAAUAAUUCUGUUUAUACCAAGAAUGUCGUGACAGCCACCAUGGCAGGACGUCAGAGAAUUCUCUUUGAACUUCAAGUUCUUGGACUCAGCUGUUUUGGGCUGAAAACAGUGGUUCAUAAGAACUUGAUAUAAAUCUUGAGCAAGAGGAAGGGUAACCUCACCUAUCUGUGAAUCAUCAGAGCAGAGGGAUUUCCAGAGCAAUCUCACUCCACUUGAUAACAACCCACAGUUCUUAGAAUUUAAUCCCAUAUCCAGAAUUUUAUUUCAAUCCAAAAAGAUUAUCUGUAAAUUUGGAUAGAGCUUUCGCUCAGAUGUUUGUAAAGCUGAUUUUCUUCUCCCCUUCCAAACCCUCCUUCACUGUUUGCCUUGGCUUACAGUGUCUUUCCCAGUUAUUAGUUUUAAAAGUGGUGACCAAUGCAACAGAGGUUUAACUCCCCCCAUCCCCCUCCUUUUCAUAAAAUCACAGAAUCAUAGAACAUUUUAAGCUGGAAGUGAUGGGAUGACUGCGUCCAACUCCCAGCAAAGGUUCUUAAUCCAGAUCUUUGUAGGUCCAUUGCAACUCAGGAUCUUCUAGAAUUCCAAAAAGACAAACCUUCUAAAGUCCUUCUAAAAUCCCUCCAGUUUCUCAGGCAGUGGGAUUUUCAGCAUGUAAGAAACCUGCAUUUUUGGCACAGAAACCCACUGUGGCUAACACGGGGGAGUUCUGAAUAAUUUCUUAUCCAAAUCCUUCCUCUAGCAGAGCAGCACAACCCUUUUUUUCCUCAGUGAUGGCAGAUAUCCCAUCUGUACUGAGUCUAGUCAUGUGUAAUAUUUUCACUGCUGUGUUUUUGACGUUUUCUCACUUCUUCAAACAAGCUUGAGACUGUGGUGGUAGGACAAAAUGGUCAUUUCCUCAUUUAAAGCAUGUUUUUUUUCCCAUGGCUGGCCAAACAAAAACAUUCCCUGUGCAGUGUCAAAAGCAAUGGAGUUUUUUUCAGUUGUCAUCAAAAAUAUUGAAGUAUGUGUAUUGGAAACUUCAUCUGUGAUGAAAUGUUUCUGUUCUGAGACAUUUCUUACUCAUUUUAGUUAUGGAACUCAGCCAAAGUAUGAAACUAGGUGAAACUGUGAAGCAAGUAAAAAAUAGGGGAAAAACCCCCACAAUUUUCUGGGGGUUUGGGUUAUUCUAUAUAUGGCAAAAGGCACUGUUUCCUUCACUGCUUUCACAGUCACAUUUUCAGCUGUUCCCUUAGCAGAAGAAAGAAUAUUUCAAAUGCCUUUCUAACCAUUUUCAACUCCUUGCAGUUUGGGUUCUGGUUUUUUUUAAGGCAGCAAACCUAAGCUGAUCUUCCCAAGCCAGGACAAGUUUUCCUCUGGGACUUUCCUCUUCAUAUUUAUUUCACUUCUUGCUGUUGUCCUUCCAAUGAUCUUCAAAGCUGAAGAUCACUGGAAGGACAACAGCAAGCAUUUUCUGGGAAAAAGAAAAGGAAAAUCAAAUCCAGAAAGGUUUGGAGGUUCUGGCAGGGUCACCACAAUAAGUGUGGUGUGUAGCAGGGUUGGUUCUCUGCUUGGGAUCUCCACCACUGGCUGGAAACCACCAUUUAAUGGGAUUUAAUUACUUUUUGAGCAGGCUGACACUGCUCUGAUCAGCCCUCAUAUUUCGCUUUUGUGCCACACGCUGAUCCCCACCAUUUCCCACCUGUGUGAGUGGGAGCUGCUCUGUUGUCCCGAUCCUCAGAUGUUCUAAAGAGUGGUUUCUCACAGCCACCCCAAAAAACUCCAGUUAGGUUGCCAUGUACUGCCCUCUAAUGCCAUUUUGGCAUAUUAGCAGCCCUCAGCCUCAGAGGAGAUCUGCAACAUAAAACAAAUCAUCCACAUCCACCAAAAACUGCUAUCAGUGCUUUAGGGAAAUGAGACAGAAAUGAGACAGUUAAUGGCUGCUUUCUCCCCAGCACAGCUUCAUUUUACACAUUCUUAAAGAUCACCAUCAGGGAGAAAAAUGAGAACUCCCUAUUUACCUUUUCUAGACCAUUUUGGGUGCUUGAUGCUUCCAGGGUCUCCUUCAGCUGUCUCUUUUCACUAACCACAUCUGAUUUCUUUAGGUCUUUUAUUGCACUGCUGCUUCUUGGAGAGGAUGAGACACCCAGGAGUGCAGGUGGCCACUCAAAUGUGCAUGUGCAUGUUGGAUUUAUGAGGAUACUUUCUCCUUUUUUAAGAUUUUAAUACUUCCCAGCAGCCUGUUUGCUUUCCUGCUUCCUUCCUUCACUAAGUAGGCAUUUCAGGAAAAUUAUCCCAAAUGAAUGCAGCAUCUCUUUCCUUAAUGGAAGCAGCUGAUUUAGAGCUGCUGCUGUGUGUGUUUUGUUAGUGCUAUUUUGUCUUGUGUGCAUUGCUUUGCAUUCAUUAACACUGGAUCCCAUCUGCCAUCUCAUCACCCAGCCAGUGCCACGCCAUCCUUCUGCAACUUCUUCUUGCUUCCAGCUUUUGGCUGAUUACUCUGAAAAAAUUGGGAUUCGCAGCAGAUUUCACCACCUUGGCUGUUCACCUUUUCCAGGUGGCCUGUUGGUACAAUGAAGGGUUCCAAUCAAGGCUGGUGGUUCUUCUCACAGUGGGAAAAUUGAUUUAUUCACAGCUUUUUGGACCCCCCUGUAAUUAAUCCCAUCUCCAUAAUCCUAUCCUCUCCUCUCCCCUCCCCCAGCUGCAUCAAACUCAUCUCAAAAUGAUGAGAAUAUUGUGAAGCUGGGAGAAAAGAGCUGCAAGAAAACAUAAAGACAGAACCACGUGGGAUUAGAAAGGCAGGUACAGAGGUAGAACUGGUGACACAGAAAUCAUGAGUGGGAUUCAAGAGGAAAAGCACCACCAUGGAAAAGUUUGAAAUAUGAAUGGAAAAAAAAUAAAAAUAGCUGGAAGAUCAGACUUCCAUAUCUGUGAGGGUCUGUAGGAGGCACAGAGCUGACCAGUGCUCCCCCACCUUUGCAGAGGAAAAGGAGAUUUCAGCCACUAUUAACCCACCUUCAAGAUGUGCAGUGCUGGGGAUGAGCUCACAUAUUUCUCCUCCAUUUCCAGUCUGUCUGGGACCUUAGCAGCAGGGUGAGGUUUCUUUAUCUGCCUGCAGCCUCCCUGAAUUUAAUGAGAAGGAUUUUCUUGGCUCCUUUGCUCCUAAGUGGGCGUGUACAAAUACACUGGGGCUGUUAUUACAGUGAUGGCUCAGUUUUGAUCCAUGCCUACUGCACUUUCCAGGCUUAACCAAGAGCUGCUCCUCUCCUUGUGAGUUAUCUGAUUCCUGACUUUAAUAGGUAGUUAUUUACAGGUCUGAUAAUUCAACCUUUACCCUCCCUGUUAUGAUUUGUUCUGAGGAGGAACUGAAAUCUCCUGUUGCUCUCGUGUUUUCCACCUUUGCAGACUCUAAUCUCCUUUGAGUUUCUCCCAGUGGCUGUCAUGCUGAGAUAUUGCUCUGUGACAUUUCAAUCCACAGGGAUUUCUCUCAGUACCUUCUGAUGCAAUUAAUUAUUUGAUUCCUUCCUUUAACAUAGGAUACAUGGUUCUUUUCUCAGUGAGAUCCUUAUGCUGUAAAAGUAGUGUCUUACUGAUUUUUUUUCCUUCCAGAAGGUUACAGAUGUGUGAAUUAUAUCAAUCCUUCCUUUUAAAAAUGCAUGCAUUGCUAAAGCAAAAAAACAUAGGAAGAUGCUUGGGAGGUCCUCUAAAAAUAAAGUGAAGAUAAUUUCUUCUUAUAUUUAAGGACCUUUCACUGUCAUUAUGAAAAUAGACAUAUCUGUAAAUGUGUUUAGAAAGAUUGGGUUAAUAGAAAGCAGCAUGAGUAGGAGAGGAAGUAGUAGCUUUAUUUUAUUUAUUUUUGCAGCUAACCACAGGGAAAUAAACUGCACAGUAGCACAGUCUGAAGCAAUGCUGGAGGUAAAGACUUUCAGAUUAAUACAGAGAUAGUGCUUGUAAAAUUUUGAGGUUGAGGUGCCAGAUCUAUCUGCUUCAGGGCUGGAGGCUGUGUUUGGCUUUGCAGACAGUCUUGCAUGUUCAUUUGCAUCAUCAUGUGGUGCAAGUGGCCAUAAUUCUUAGAAAACUCAGCUCAUCUAUUUUACGUGCUUGGUAUGAGCUGGAGAUACACUGGCCCAGUGUAAGUAAAAAAGAAAAUCCAUUUUUGCCUCUGUCAAAAAGAAGAUAUUAAAUAAUCAGUGCGAGAGAUUGGGCUGGGAAAUUGGUAUGGUUGGGUAAAUUUUAGGCUCACACAGAUGCGGAAUUUUAAGGUUUGCUCUAGAAAACAAAAGCAAUUUGUUUGCAGACCAAACAAAUCCACUUCAGGCCCAAAUGACAUAAUGCAGAAAGACCUUCUAAUAGCCAAAUAUUUUGCAAUAACAAUUACCUAGUGGCAGUGAUGGCAUACUAAAAUGACAGCAAACAUGCUGGAAUAACAGACAGAAUUGUUUGAAAUACACUUGAUGAGGACUAAGUUUUCUGUUUUUGUAACUUUCUCAGUGUGACUGUGUUGCCAGACUCAAAAGAGUCUCAUAUCACUGUCUCUGUUUACCUUCCCAAAAUCUCAGGUGCCCUUGGUAAGUAACUGGAAAUACUGAAUGGCUGUGGAGACAGGUUAUUUACUGAAUAAAAUACCACAGAUGUGGAAACCCAGGGCACUGGGAAUAUUUCUCUGUCUGCUCUGGGGUGCCCUGACCCCCAGGGGAGCACUGACUUUGACCCUCAUUCAUGGAGAAAGUUUCCCAGACUUCAAGAUCGACUGGAAUCCACAAAAGUGUGAAAGAGAUUAUAGAGAUCAGUGCAGGUGUGUCACUUAGGUGGGAAAUUGAGGGUUUGGGAUUUUUAGUGUGUUGUGGAUGGAAGCAAGAUGGAGGGCACAGGGUGUCAUCCUGGGUUUCUUCUUCAUGCUUCUUCUCCAUGGUUUGGGUGGCAUUUUGUAAUUGGGCAGAAAAGUCCCCAUUGUGGGCUCCGUGGGAUCAGUUAUUGGGUCAAAAGGGAAAAUAAUCCAGAUGUCAGUUCUUAAUUGGAUAGUUCAGUCUUAAAGGACCUUGUACCAAGAGAUUGUUGGCCAUUUUGCGCCUUCUAAUAAAAAACUGCCAAACUC
Long non-coding RNA from Haemorhous mexicanus (house finch), 5936 nucleotides. RefSeq lists it as uncharacterized. The transcript has 2 exons. NCBI's taxonomy places the organism in Eukaryota, Metazoa, Chordata, Aves, Passeriformes, Fringillidae. The record is from RefSeq and is a predicted model, not a curated record.